CCUACGGGUGGCAGCAGUCGAGAAUCAUUCACAAUGGGGGAAACCCUGAUGGUGCGACGCCGCGUGGGGGAAUGAAGGUCUUCGGAUUGUAAACCCCUGUCAUGUGGGAGCAAAAUAAAAAGAUAGUACCACACGAGGAAGAGACGGCUAACUCUGUGCCAGCAGCCGCGGUAAUACAGAGGUCUCAAGCGUUGUUCGGAAUCACUGGGCGUAAAGCGUGCGUAGGCUGUUUCGUAAGUCGUGGGUGAAAGGCGCGGGCUCAACCCGCGGACGGCACAUGAUACUGCGAGACUAGAGUAAUGGAGGGGGAACCGGAAUUCUCGGUGUAGCAGUGAAAUGCGUAGAUAUCGAGAGGAACACUCGUGGCGAAGGCGGGUUCCUGGACAUUAACUGACGCUGAGGCACGAAGGCCAGGGGAGCGAAAGGGAUUAGAUACCCGGGUAGUC
Molecule: ribosomal RNA, 446 nt
Filed under: uncultured bacterium
Lineage: Bacteria
Description: partial 16S ribosomal RNA
Rfam family: Bacterial small subunit ribosomal RNA
Source: RNAcentral